ACUAGUCAUAUUAAGAGUCUUGACCCUGAGUCUCUGAAUAUUCCCAGAAUGAGCAUUGCAGAUUCCAGUGUCCAUUGUUACUAAUCUCAGCUAUGAUUAUCAGCCCUGGAAAAAAAGGUUGGUGUAAAUUAGGAGAAACUUCACUACAUUACGGAAUGAUCAGUGGUGUAAAAUUGCCAUAAGUAGGACAGUCGACUUUUAGAACUUUUAUCCAAAAUAAUUCAAACUCAUUGUAAUUUGAUCUCAAGAUCUGGAUUGCAGAGGUUCCUCCUGCAAUCUGCUACUCAUACUAUGUGAGGGACACAUUCACUUCACCUCCUACCCCUUUCUUGGUAAUGUCAACAAAAAGAAAAUGAGCAUUUUGGAAUGCAGGUGUAUCUCAAAGACACUUCGAAGAUCAAGACAAAGAAUCUGAGGACUUUAUUCCACUGAUGGGUCAAAU
Cygnus atratus (black swan) is the source of this 442-nucleotide long non-coding RNA. RefSeq lists it as uncharacterized. Lineage: Eukaryota; Metazoa; Chordata; Aves; Anseriformes; Anatidae. The transcript has 3 exons. The record is from RefSeq and is a predicted model, not a curated record.